CGCUUUUCGGCACAGCGUUUAACGUGACAUCAUGAGACUCAAACCGUUUUGCUUCCGUGUUGUUCCCCCUUGUUUGAAGGACACACCCUUUAUUAUACACGAGUGUGUUCAAUUAGACAGGUCACGUGAUGUGACAUACAAUAAUCCAAUAAUGA
Molecule: non-coding RNA, 155 nt
Organism: Poecilia reticulata (guppy)
Lineage: Eukaryota; Metazoa; Chordata; Actinopteri; Cyprinodontiformes; Poeciliidae
Source: RefSeq, a predicted model, not a curated record